CUUAGCUCAGUUGGCUAGAGCACCUGACUGUAGAUCAGGGGGUCCCCGGUUCAAGUCCGGGAGCGCGGACCA
This 72-nucleotide transfer RNA is filed under the name Methanobacteriota archaeon. RNAcentral's name for it is "Euryarchaeota archaeon tRNA-Tyr". It matches the Rfam family "tRNA". Rfam says of the family: Transfer RNA (tRNA) molecules are approximately 80 nucleotides in length. The record is from RNAcentral. Lineage: Archaea; Methanobacteriati; Methanobacteriota.